GCGGGCGUGGUGUAACGGUAGCACAGCUGCCUUCCAAGCAUCUAGAGUGGGUUCGAGUCCCAUCGCCCGCU
This 71-nucleotide transfer RNA is filed under the name Leptospira sp. Its description in RNAcentral is "tRNA-Gly". It matches the Rfam family "tRNA". From Rfam's summary of the family: Transfer RNA (tRNA) molecules are approximately 80 nucleotides in length. Their secondary structure includes four short double-helical elements and three loops (D, anti-codon, and T loops). RNAcentral also lists the same sequence under 1 other name. Lineage: Bacteria; Pseudomonadati; Spirochaetota; Leptospiria; Leptospirales; Leptospiraceae. The record is from RNAcentral.